This 885-nucleotide ribosomal RNA is filed under the name Salmonella enterica. RNAcentral's name for it is "partial 23S ribosomal RNA". It matches the Rfam family "Bacterial large subunit ribosomal RNA", at positions 711 to 1513 of the family's 2925-position model. The record is from RNAcentral. Lineage: Bacteria; Pseudomonadati; Pseudomonadota; Gammaproteobacteria; Enterobacterales; Enterobacteriaceae.
AGACCCGAAACCCGGUGAUCUAGCCAUGGGCAGGUUGAAGGUUGGGUAACACUAACUGGAGGACCGAACCGACUAAUGUUGAAAAAUUAGCGGAUGACCUGUGGCUGGGGGUGAAAGGCCAAUCAAACCGGGAGAUAGCUGGUUCUCCCCGAAAGCUAUUUAGGUAGCGCCUCGUGAAUUCAUCUCCGGGGGUAGAGCACUGUUUCGGCUAGGGGGCCAUCCCGGCUUACCAACCCGAUGCAAACUGCGAAUACCGGAGAAUGUUAUCACGGGAGACACACGGCGGGUGCUAACGUCCGUCGUGAAGAGGGAAACAACCCAGACCGCCAGCUAAGGUCCCAAAGUCAUGGUUAAGUGGGAAACGAUGUGGGAAGGCCCAGACAGCCAGGAUGUUGGCUUAGAAGCAGCCAUCAUUUAAAGAAAGCGUAAUAGCUCACUGGUCGAGUCGGCCUGCGCGGAAGAUGUAACGGGGCUAAACCAUGCACCGAAGCUGCGGCAGCGAACGUAUCACCCAAGACAACUUUACGGAGUUGACGAUUGACGGAGCGAAGCGACGUCAAAGCGUUCAUUAAAGUCGAGUUGGCUUAGGGAUACGUUCGUUGGGUAGGGGAGCGUUCUGUAAGCCUGUGAAGGUGGCCUGUGAGGGUUGCUGGAGGUAUCAGAAGUGCGAAUGCUGACAUAAGUAACGAUAAAGCGGGUGAAAAGCCCGCUCGCCGGAAGACCAAGGGUUCCUGUCCAACGUUAAUCGGGGCAGGGUGAGUCGACCCCUAAGGCGAGGCCGAAAGGCGUAGUCGAUGGGAAACGGGUUAAUAUUCCCGUACUUGGUGUUACUGCGAAGGGGGGACGGAGAAGGCUAUGUUGGCCGGGCGACGGUUGUCCCGGUUU